GAUGAAGAACGUAGCGAAAUGCGAUAAGUAAUGCGAAUUGCAGAAUUUCCGUGAGUCAUCGAAUCUUUGAACGCACAUUGCGCCCGCCAGCAUUCUGGCGGGCAUGCCUGUUCGAGCGUCAUUUCAACCCUCGACCUCCCUUUGGGGAAGUCGGCGUUGGGGACCGGCAGCACACCGCCGGCCCUGAAAUGGAGUGGCGGCCCGUCCGCGGCGACCUCUGCGUAGUAAACCAACUCGCACCGGAACCCCGACGUGGCCACGCCGUAAAACACCCAACUUCUGAACGUUGACCUCGAAUCAGGUAGGACUACCCGCUGAACUUAAGCAUAUCAAUAAGCGGAGGA
RNAcentral lists this unclassified non-coding RNA (344 nucleotides) under soil metagenome. RNAcentral describes it as "partial contains 5.8S ribosomal RNA, internal transcribed spacer 2, and large subunit ribosomal RNA". The stretch from base 1 to 121 matches the Rfam family "5.8S ribosomal RNA", at positions 35 to 154 of the family's 154-position model. The record is from RNAcentral.